This 450-nucleotide ribosomal RNA is filed under the name uncultured Glomeromycotina. RNAcentral describes it as "SSU rRNA". It matches the Rfam family "Eukaryotic small subunit ribosomal RNA", at positions 569 to 1023 of the family's 1831-position model. Lineage: Eukaryota; Fungi; Glomeromycota. The record is from RNAcentral.
AGCAGCCGCGGUAAUUCCAGCUCCAAUAGCGUAUAUUAAAGUUGUUGCAGUUAAAAAGCUCGUAGUUGAAUUUCGGGAUCAAUAUGUCGGUCGUGCCUCCGGUACGUACUGGCAUCAUUGAUUUCUCCCUUCUGACGAACCAUGAUGUCAUUAAUUUGGUGUCAUGGGGAGUCAGGACUGUUACUUUGAAAAAAUUAGAGUGUUUAAAGCAGGCUCACGCUUGAAUACAUUAGCAUGGAAUAAUGAAAUAGGACGUUUGAUCCUAUUUUGUUGGUUUCUAGGAUCGACGUAAUGAUUAAUAGGGAUAGUUGGGGGCAUUAGUAUUCAAUUGCCAGAGGUGAAAUUCUUGGAUUUAUUGAAGACUAACUACUGCGAAAGCAUUUGCCAAGGAUGUUUUCAUUAAUCAAGAACGAAAGUUAGGGGAUCGAAGACGAUCAGAUAUCGUCGUAG